Molecule: ribosomal RNA, 253 nt
Filed under: uncultured bacterium
Lineage: Bacteria
Description: partial 16S ribosomal RNA
Rfam family: Bacterial small subunit ribosomal RNA
Source: RNAcentral
UACGAAGGGGGCUAGCGUUGCUCGGAAUUACUGGGCGUAAAGGGCGCGUAGGCGGAUAUCUAAGUUGGGGGUGAAAUCCCGGGGCUCAACCUCGGAAUUGCCUUCAAAACUGGAUAUCUUGAGUCCGGGAGAGGUGAGUGGAACUGCGAGUGUAGAGGUGAAAUUCGUAGAUAUUCGCAAGAACACCAGUGGCGAAGGCGGCUCACUGGCCCGGUACUGACGCUGAGGUGCGAAAGCGUGGGGAGCAAACAGG